CUACGGGAGGCAGCAGUGGGGAAUUUUGGGCAAUGGGCGCAAGCCUGACCCAGCGACGCCGCGUGGAGGAUGAAGGCCUUCGGGUUGUAAACUCCUGUCAGGUGGGAAGAAGUGCUUCACGGAUAAUACCCGUGAAGAAUUGACGGUACCACCAAAGGAAGCCCCGGCUAACUCCGUGCCAGCAGCCGCGGUAAUACGGAGGGGGCAAGCGUUAUUCGGAUUUACUGGGCGUAAAGCGCACGUAGGCGGCAGUGUAAGUCACAGGUGAAAUCCCUCGGCUCAACCGAGGAACCGCCUGCGAAACUGCAUUGCUUGAGUCCGGGAGGGGGGAGCGGAAUUCCCAGUGUAGCGGUGAAAUGCGUAGAUACUGGGAGGAACACCGGUGGCGAAGGCGGCUCCCUGGACCGGUACUGACGCUGAGGUGCGAAAGCGUGGGUAGCAAACAGGAUUAGAUACCCUGGUAGUCCACGCCGUAAACGAUGGGCACUAGGUGCAGCGGGUGUCGACCCCUGCUGUGCCGGAGUUAACGCAUUAAGUGCCCCGCCUGGGGAGUACGGUCGCAAGGCUGAAACUCAAAU
This 578-nucleotide ribosomal RNA is filed under the name uncultured bacterium. RNAcentral describes it as "bacterial SSU rRNA". It matches the Rfam family "Bacterial small subunit ribosomal RNA", at positions 339 to 906 of the family's 1533-position model. The record is from RNAcentral.